AUAUCAAUAAGCGGAGGAAAAGAAACCAACAGGGAUUACCUCAGUAACGGCGAGUGAAGCGGUAACAGCUCAAAUUUGAAAUCUAGCGCUUUCAGCGUUCGAGUUGUAAUUUGUAGAAGAUGCUUUGGGUGUGGCUCCGGUCUAAGUUCCUUGGAACAGGACGUCAUAGAGGGUGAGAAUCCCGUAUGUGACUGGCUGCCUUCGCCUAUGUAAAGCUCUUUCGACGAGUCGAGUUGUUUGGGAAUGCAGCUCUAAAUGGGAGGUAUAUUUCUUCUAAAGCUAAAUAUUGGCCAGAGACCGAUAGCGCACAAGUAGAGUGAUCGAAAGAUGAAAAGCACUUUGGAAAGAGAGUUAAACAGUAC
RNAcentral lists this ribosomal RNA (362 nucleotides) under uncultured fungus. Its description in RNAcentral is "eukaryotic LSU rRNA". It matches the Rfam family "Eukaryotic large subunit ribosomal RNA", at positions 40 to 398 of the family's 3401-position model. Lineage: Eukaryota; Fungi. The record is from RNAcentral.